This 468-nucleotide ribosomal RNA is filed under the name uncultured bacterium. RNAcentral's name for it is "partial 16S ribosomal RNA". It matches the Rfam family "Bacterial small subunit ribosomal RNA", at positions 28 to 507 of the family's 1533-position model. The record is from RNAcentral.
GACGAACGCUGGCGGUGUGCUUAACACAUGCAAGUCGAACGGUAAGGCCCUUUCGGGGGUACACGAGUGGCGAACGGGUGCGUAACACGUGAGUAACCUGCCCUCAUCUCUGGGAUAACAGUCGGAAACGGUUGCUAAUACUGGAUAUGAGCUUGCAAGGCAUCUUGUGGGUUGGAAAGAUUUUUUUUGGUUGGGGAUGGACUCGCGGCCUAUCAGCUUGUUGGUGAGGUAGUGGCUCACCAAGGCUUCGACGGGUAGCCGGCCUGAGAGGGCGACCGGCCACAUUGGGACUGAGAUACGGCCCAAACUCCUACGGGAGGCAGCAGUGGGGAAUAUUGCACAAUGGACGGAAGUCUGAUGCAGCAACGCCGCGUGCGGGAUGACGGCCUUCGGGUUGUAAACCGCUUUCAAUUGUGACGAAGCUUUUUUGUGACGGUAGCAGUAGAAGAAGCACCGGCCAACUACGUG